AGGACGAACGCUGGCGGCGUGCUUAACACAUGCAAGUGGAGCGACGAACCGGGGCUUGCCCCGGGGCAGAGCCGCGAACGGGUGAGUAACACGUGGGUUACCUGCCCCAAUGACCGGGACAACCCGAGGAAACUCGGGCUAAUACCGGAUGUGGUCUUCGGACGAAAGGAAGCUUCGGCCUCCGCAUUGGGAUGGGCCCGCGGCGCAUUAGCUUGUUGGUGGGGUAACGGCCUACCAAGGCGACGAUGCGUAGCUGGUCUGAGAGGACGAUCAGCCACACUGGGACUGAGACACGGCCCAGACUCCUACGGGAGGCAGCAGUAGGGAAUUUUCCACAAUGGGCGAAAGCCUGAUGGAGCAACGCCGCGUGCAGGAUGAAUGCCUUAGGGUUGUAAACUGCUUUUAUCUGUGACGAAUAUGACGGUAGCAGAUGAAUAAGGAUCGGCUAACUCCGCGCCAGCAGCCGC
This 467-nucleotide ribosomal RNA is filed under the name uncultured bacterium. Its description in RNAcentral is "SSU rRNA". It matches the Rfam family "Bacterial small subunit ribosomal RNA", at positions 26 to 518 of the family's 1533-position model. The record is from RNAcentral.